ACGGGGUGCAGCAGGCGCGAAAACUUGUCAAUGCACGAAAGUGUGAACGGGCUACCCCGAGUGCCGUCCGCUGAGGAUGGCUUUUCUCUGCUGUAAGAAGGCGGAGGAAUAAGGAGAGGGCAAGUCUGGUGUCAGCCACCGCGGUAAUACCAGCUCUCCGAGUGGUAGGGAUGAUUAUUGGGCCUAAAGCGUUCGUAGCCGGCCUUCCAAGUCUUUCGUUAAACCCAGCGAUUCAAUCGUUGGACUGCGGGAGAUACUGUUAGGCUAGGGGGCGGGAGAAGCCGACGGUAUUUCUGGGGUAGGGGUAAAAUCCUAUAAUCCCAGGAAGACCACCAGUGGCGUAGGCGGUCGGCUAGCACGCGCUCGACGGUGAGGGACGAAAGCUGGGGGAGCAAACCGGAUUAGAUACCCGGGUAGUCCCAGCUGUAAACGAUGCGGGCUAGGUGUUGAAGCGGCUACGAGCCGCUUCAGUGCCGCAGGGAAGCCAUUAAGCCCGCCGCCUGGGGAGUACGGCCGCAAGGCUGAAACUUAAAGGAAUUGGCGGGGGAGCAC
This 552-nucleotide ribosomal RNA is filed under the name uncultured archaeon. RNAcentral's name for it is "bacterial SSU rRNA". It matches the Rfam family "Archaeal small subunit ribosomal RNA", at positions 325 to 879 of the family's 1478-position model. The record is from RNAcentral.